Molecule: non-coding RNA, 74 nt
Organism: Lamprotornis superbus
Lineage: Eukaryota; Metazoa; Chordata; Aves; Passeriformes; Sturnidae
Source: the annotation of a GenBank genome assembly
GUGGGAUUAGCUCAGCUGCUUAGAGCAUGGUUCUAAUAAUGCCAAGGUUGUUGGUUCUAUUCCUGUAUGGGUCA